RNAcentral lists this ribosomal RNA (423 nucleotides) under uncultured bacterium. Its description in RNAcentral is "partial 16S ribosomal RNA". It matches the Rfam family "Bacterial small subunit ribosomal RNA", at positions 359 to 773 of the family's 1533-position model. The record is from RNAcentral.
GAAUAUUGGACAAUGGGGGGAACCCUGAUCCAGCCAUGCCGCGUGUGUGAAGAAGGCCUUUUGGUUGUAAAGCACUUUAAGCGAGGAGGAGGAGCUCUUGGUUAAUACACACGAUGCUUGGCAGUUACUAGAAGAAUAAGCACCGGCUAAAUCUGUCCCAGAAGCCGCGGUGAUACAGAGGGUGCACUCGUUAAUCGGAUUUACUGGGCAUAAAGCGCGCGUAGGUGGCCAAUUAAGUCAAAUGUGAAAUCCCCGAGCUUAACUUGGGAAUUGCAUUCGAUACUGGUUGGCUAGAGUAUGGGAGAGGAUGGUAGAAUUCCAGGUGUAGCGGUGAAAUGCGUAGAGAUCUGGAGGAAUACCGAUGGCGAAGGCAGCCAUCUGGCCUAAUACUGACACUGAGGUGCGAAAGCAUGGGGAGCAAAC